RNAcentral lists this non-coding RNA (155 nucleotides) under Alphaproteobacteria bacterium. RNAcentral's name for it is "6S RNA". It matches the Rfam family "6S / SsrS RNA". From Rfam's summary of the family: E. coli 6S RNA was the first non coding RNA to be sequenced, but its function was unknown until recently. It consists of 184 nucleotides that fold into an extended hairpin structure with a large single-stranded internal bulge. The record is from RNAcentral. Lineage: Bacteria; Pseudomonadati; Pseudomonadota; Alphaproteobacteria.
CGGUUGCUGCGGAGCAUGACACGCCGUCGUUUCCCGGGGCCAAUAAGUUUCUCUAGGGAGCUGUCCCUGCCGGAGCCGUGGUUCCGGUAUAUGGCGCCCACCUGCUUUGCAGGCCUAGAGGAAACUUGCAGCGUGACGGCCGCUGCGGCACCGUC